CCCCUUGCCCUCACGAAAAGCUCUGCUAGGGUUUGCCCUAAGGUCCCCUUCACCCAAGCUCAAACUCAGUUCCCACUCCAUCGCGCAAGCUGCCGUGCUCCGAGGUCCCGUGUCGAGGUUCCGUUAACCCUUUUCCAGAUGGGCGAGGUCCUCGUGGUCAGCAAGGAAAUGGAGAUUCUGCCGCUUAGUCCGCGUGGAUUGGAUUAUAUUCGUUGUUGUACUUUUCUUUAGGGCUAUGGCCCUGUAUGUCGUUGUUCUUGGUUUUGUAAACGUUCGGUCGAACCGUUAUUCUGUUUUGGUUGGCAUCGCGUUAUGCCUAGUUGUAGGGAUAGAUUUAUGAACCCCAGGAUUGCAUCGUUGA
Vigna unguiculata (cowpea) is the source of this 361-nucleotide long non-coding RNA. The record is from RefSeq and is a predicted model, not a curated record. NCBI's taxonomy places the organism in Eukaryota, Viridiplantae, Streptophyta, Magnoliopsida, Fabales, Fabaceae.